GGAGAGAUGGCAGAGCGGUUUAAUGCGGCGGUCUUGAAAACCGUUGUUCUUCACGGAACCGGGGGUUCGAAUCCCUCUCUCUCCG
This 85-nucleotide transfer RNA is filed under the name Marinilabiliales bacterium. RNAcentral describes it as "tRNA-Ser". It matches the Rfam family "tRNA". Rfam says of the family: Transfer RNA (tRNA) molecules are approximately 80 nucleotides in length. Their secondary structure includes four short double-helical elements and three loops (D, anti-codon, and T loops). Lineage: Bacteria; Pseudomonadati; Bacteroidota; Bacteroidia; Marinilabiliales. The record is from RNAcentral.